This 336-nucleotide unclassified non-coding RNA is filed under the name soil metagenome. RNAcentral's name for it is "partial contains 5.8S ribosomal RNA, internal transcribed spacer 2, and large subunit ribosomal RNA". The stretch from base 1 to 120 matches the Rfam family "5.8S ribosomal RNA", at positions 35 to 154 of the family's 154-position model. The record is from RNAcentral.
GAUGAAGAACGCAGCGAAAUGCGAUAAGUAGUGUGAAUUGCAGAAUUCAGUGAAUCAUCGAAUCUUUGAACGCACAUUGCGCCCCUUGGUAUUCCAUGGGGCAUGCCUGUUCGAGCGUCAUUUGUACCUUCAAGCUCUGCUUGGUGUUGGGUGUUUGUCUCGCCUCUGCGUGUAGACUCGCCUCAAAACAAUUGGCAGCCGGCGUAUUGAUUUCGGAGCGAGUACAUCUCGCGCUUUGCACUCAUAACGACGACGUCCAAAAGUACAUUUUUACACUCUUGACCUCGGAUCAGGUAGGGAUACCCGCUGAACUUAAGCAUAUCAAUAAGCGGAGGA